UUGAGAACUUGUUUGAAUGGUUUGACGAGAUAACAAUGAAUAUUUGUGAUUUAAUUGAAAUUGGUGUUGAGGGGACAGGACCCUCAAUUGUGAAUUAGACGGAAAGACCCCGGGAUCUUUUGUUUUGCUUGGGGCAAGUUUUAAUGUUUUAUUUGAAUUGUGACCCUUCUUGAGUUUAUUGGGCUAAGUUACCCCGGGGAUAACAGUGUAAUAGUUAAUAAGAGAUCCUAUCGAGUUAACUGUUUGCCACCUCGAUGUUGACUUGAGUAGUGUAUGGGCGUAGCAGUUUGUACAUUAGGUCUGUUCGACCUUGAUACUUUCAUGAGUUGAGUUAAGACCGGCGUGAGCCAGGUCGGUUCUUAUCUAUUUAAGAAACUUAUUAGUACGAAAGGAUUGUAAGUUUUUUUAUUGAACACGAAGGUUUAAAAUUAGUUUUGCAAAAGCUGAUAAGGGCGCCCCGUGUUAUUUAAUUAUGGUAAGAGAAAGUAAGGAUGCUUAGCUGCAUAAAAGGGGUUUAGUUUGUAGAAAAAUAGUAUUAUUUGUGUUUAUUAGCAGUUAGUUUUUUAUUAGAAUGUAAAUUUGUUAAGAAGCUCCAGGUAUAGGGGAUAGGUCACAGUGCCAGCAUCUGCGGUUAGUCUGUUUUCUUUUCUUUUUUGUGGAUUGUUUUUGUGCAUUUAUAGGCAGGAUUGGGUAAAAUUAUACUGUUUUUAUAUUUAGUGCAUAGUAAUAAUUAUAUAUUGGGGUGCGACGAGGAUUAGAUACCCUCUUAGUUUAAUAUUAGAGUUG
This 786-nucleotide ribosomal RNA is filed under the name Bertiella sp. VH-2017. RNAcentral describes it as "partial large subunit ribosomal RNA". The stretch from base 93 to 368 matches the Rfam family "Bacterial large subunit ribosomal RNA", at positions 2074 to 2646 of the family's 2925-position model. The record is from RNAcentral. Lineage: Eukaryota; Metazoa; Platyhelminthes; Cestoda; Cyclophyllidea; Anoplocephalidae.